UAGCCGUCUCUUAAUAUUUAUGCGUGACCCUGGGGUCAAACUCCAAAACGAGGCUAUCCCCGCAAGCUUUCAAAAUGGCAUCGGAGCAUCGCCGUGUCCUCGAAUGCGUUUCCGAUGCGAGGUGAGAUAAAUCUAUGAGUUUUCAUCGUUGUUCCGGUCGAUUUAUCUUUGCGGAAACGAUGACUGGCAGCCAUCCGACAAGUUAUAGGGAAGUUGUUCACCUCCUUGAUUUGUGUGUUGUAAACAUGCAAGUAUGCCCCUGUGCAAAGAAUACUGAAAUCAGGGACAAUCCCAUCCAUAUUUGCAUGGACUGUGGCCACAACACCAAGGAAGCCCCCCUUGAUCCUAUAGGCCAGAACGUCAUAAUUGUGAGGAGAACCUGGUUCCAGGAGGAGGUGUGAUGGACCUGAUGGAUGAGGUUGAAGGGUAUGAUCAUUCCACACAGAAUGUGGGGUGUGAGGCACAAUUUGAAAUAAAGGAGAUGCAGGUCCAUGUUGAACAAUGGGAGAACCAUCUACUCAAUAACCAUCUGGCUCUUGAGAAUUUUGGAGUAUCAAGAACUAGAACUGACCCGUUUCAUGCAAUAUUAAAUUUUCAUUACUGACUGUGAUACUUUCAAGUGAUGUUUAUAUUUUGAUCAACCCAGUGCCACCAAAAUGUGUAGCAUGUAUUAUGUUUUUUCUGACACUGUUUCCUUGGCUG
Long non-coding RNA from Haliotis rufescens (red abalone), 702 nucleotides. RefSeq lists it as uncharacterized. The transcript has 3 exons. NCBI's taxonomy places the organism in Eukaryota, Metazoa, Mollusca, Gastropoda, Lepetellida, Haliotidae. The record is from RefSeq and is a predicted model, not a curated record.